This 711-nucleotide ribosomal RNA is filed under the name uncultured bacterium. RNAcentral's name for it is "bacterial SSU rRNA". It matches the Rfam family "Bacterial small subunit ribosomal RNA", at positions 37 to 751 of the family's 1533-position model. The record is from RNAcentral.
UAGCGGGAGGCUUAACACAUGCAAGUCGAGGGGUAUAGUAGCAAUACUAGAGACCGGCGCACGGGUGAGUAACGCGUAUGCAACCUGCCCUUUACAGGAGGAUAGCCCGCUGAAAGGCGGAUUAAUACUCCAUAAUAUGGUACAGCCGCAUGGUUGAACUAUAAAAGCUUAGGCGGUAAAGGAUGGGCAUGCGUGACAUUAGCUGGUUGGCGGGGUAACGGCCCACCAAGGCUGCGAUGUCUAGGGGUUCUGAGAGGAAGGUCCCUCACACUGGUACUGAGACACGGACCAGACUCCUACGGGAGGCAGCAGUGAGGAAUAUUGGUCAAUGGGCGCGAGCCUGAACCAGCCAUCCCGCGUGCAGGAAGACGGCCCUAUGGGUUGUAAACUGCUUUUGUGCAGGAAGAACGUACAGAUCGUGAUCUGUAGUGACGGUACUGCAUGAAUAAGCACCGGCUAACUCCGUGCCAGCAGCCGCGGUAAUACGGAGGGUGCAAGCGUUAUCCGGAUUUAUUGGGUUUAAAGGGUGCGUAGGCGGUUAAAUAAGUCAGUGGUGAAAAGCUGCAGCUCAACUGUAGUCCUGCCAUUGAAACUGUUUUACUUGAGUAACCAUGAGGUAGGCGGAAUGUGUAGUGUAGCGGUGAAAUGCUUAGAUAUUACACAGAACACCGAUUGCGUAGGCAGCUUACUAGAGGUUCACUGACGCUGAUG